CUGUCAGUGAGUCUCGGAGGAUGUGAGGGGAAAUUUAAAUAGAGCUAGCUAGAUCUCAGAGGCAUGGAUAGACUAUUGACUGCUGGUUUCUCAGUUGGGAUGUACUGUGCUUUGUUGGAAUUUUCUGCCUACUGUCGAGGGGCCUACCUCCAUCUUAAUCGAUGCAUCUGGACAAUGAGGUGGGGUGGACAGUUGUCUCAUUGGCCCUCAGUACAUGGAGAAGAAUGCGGUGACGACUACCAGCCCAGAGUCAUUCACGAAGGCCCGGCCCUUCUAGGAGACAAAGCAAUAUCCCAGCAGAGUAUGAAGUCAUCACCACCGUUUGUAUGCAACAUUACAAAAGGUUCAGUAAGGUUCACCUACGUCCCGACACGAGACAGGGACCAGUCUGCUCAGACCCUGACCCAAGAAUGCCUGGUUCAUCAGUCAGUCUUAAUGGAGUACCUGAGCCCUAGGACGAUGCCUCAGGACUACCUGGCAUGAUGACUCC
Molecule: long non-coding RNA, 490 nt
Organism: Oncorhynchus gorbuscha (pink salmon)
Lineage: Eukaryota; Metazoa; Chordata; Actinopteri; Salmoniformes; Salmonidae
Exons: 3
Source: RefSeq, a predicted model, not a curated record